UCUGUAUCUCUGCACACUGAGAGUCAGUUAACAGUCUGGCUGAGCCUUCAACUGGUCAGGAUGGAUCUUCCUGCUAGGUCAAGAUGAGUGUUGAAGGCAGGCUGGAUCCUGCAACUGCCCAUGUGUGCCACAUGUACCCAACAUAUAGCAAAAUGCAUGCAUAGAUAUUCCUUACACUGGAUGAUGCAGACUCAGAAGAAAGGUCAUACCAGCUGAAAGAUUCUGGAACGUGUAAUCUUAACUUUUCUGAAGUCCAUGGUGAGGUACAGUAUAUAUGGUUUGCAGUAUGUUCCAGAUUUGAUCUGCAAAAGGGGGGCCCUGCAACCUCAGGAGACAUUUAAAAUCCUUAACAUUUCAGAAGCAGGAGCCUGAAGAAUACCGUCACCAAGUGCCUUCUCCAACCUAAACCAGACUGCUGAAGAUGUUUGUCUCUCAGUAGCACAUUUUAUCCUCAUGCAGACACUAUACACUGCUUCUCGUUAGCACACUAGAACUGGAGUCUCUACAGUUCUCGUGUGCUAGUGUAAGUCCAAUAGACUGUUUGAUUCAGCCCAAUGAGUGGGGAAAUCCUAUGAGGGGGUUGUGAGUCAGGAUCUGAGUUAGAAAGAGCCGGAGAGGCAGGCGCUCCAUCCUAUGAGAAGGCUGAAGUCGUUACCACCUUGGGUUAGGUAGCAGAAUGUUUAUGCAAAAGGGGGGCCACUGGAAUCCGCAUCGUGACCUUAUGUAUUUGCAUUUUAUUUUAGAGUUUUAGAAACAGUCUAUUUAGAGCUGAUUCCUUGAUGUUGUGGA
Non-coding RNA from Pogona vitticeps (central bearded dragon), 789 nucleotides. The record is from RefSeq and is a predicted model, not a curated record. NCBI's taxonomy places the organism in Eukaryota, Metazoa, Chordata, Lepidosauria, Squamata, Agamidae.